AGUAACCUGCCCUCCACUUCGGGAUAACCUCGGGAAAUCGUGGCUAAUACCGGAUAUGAGCACUCAUCGCAUGGUGGGUGUUGGAAAGAUUUAUCGGUGGGGGAUGGACUCGCGGCCUAUCAGUUUGUUGGUGAGGUGAUGGCUCACCAAGACGAUGACGGGUAGCCGGCCUGAGAGGGCGACCGGCCACACUGGGACUGAGACACGGCCCAGACUCCUACGGGAGGCAGCAGUGGGGAAUAUUGCACAAUGGGCGAAAGCCUGAUGCAGCGACGCCGCGUGGGGGAUGACGGCCUUCGGGUUGUAAACCCCUUUCAGUAGGGAAGAAGCGAGAGUGACGGUACCUGCAGAAGAAGCGCCGGCUAACUACGUGCCAGCAGCCGCGGUAAUACGUAGGGCGCAAGCGUUGUCCGGAAUUAUUGGGCGUAAAGAGCUUGUAGGUGGCUUGUCGCGUCUGCCGUGAAAACCCGAGGCUCAACCUCGGGCGUGCGGUGGGUACGGGCAGGCUAGAGUGUGGUAGGGGAGACUGGAACUCCUGGUGUAGCGGUGAAAUGCGCAGAUAUCAGGAAGAACACCGAUGGCGAAGGCAGGUCUCUGGGCCAUUACUGACACUGAGAAGCGAAAGCAUGGGUAGCGAACAGGAUUAGAUACCCUGGUAGUCCAUGCCGUAAACGUUGGGCACUAGGUGUGGGGGACAUUCCACGUUUUCCGCGCCGUAGCUAACGCAUUAAGUGCCCCGCCUGGGGAGUACGGCCGCAAGGCUAAAACUCAAAGGAAUUGACGGGGGCCCGCACAAGCGGCGGAGCAUGCUGAUUAAUUCGAUGCAACGCGAAGAACCUUACCAAGGCUUGACAUGCACUGGACGGCUGCAGAGAUGUGGCUUUCUUUGGACUGGUGCACAGGUGGUGCAUGGUUGUCGUCAGCUCGUGUCGUGAGAUGUUGGGUUAAGUCCCGCAACGAGCGCAACCCUCGUUCUAUGUUGCCAGCACGUGAUGGUGGGGACUCAUAGGAGACUGCCGGGGUCAACUCGGAGGAAGGUGGGGACGACGUCAAAUCAUCAUGCCCCUUAUGUCUUGGGCUUCAAGCAUGCUACAAUGGUCGGUACAAUGGGUUGCGAAACUGUGAGGUGGAGCGAAUCCCAAAAAGCCGGCCUCAGUUCGGAUUGGGGUCUGCAACUCGACCCCAUGAAGUCGGAGUCGCUAGUAAUCGCAGAUCAGCAACGCUGCGGUGAAUACGUUCCCGGGCCUU
This 1248-nucleotide ribosomal RNA is filed under the name Brachybacterium sp. MS41. RNAcentral's name for it is "bacterial SSU rRNA". It matches the Rfam family "Bacterial small subunit ribosomal RNA", at positions 120 to 1382 of the family's 1533-position model. Lineage: Bacteria; Bacillati; Actinomycetota; Actinomycetes; Micrococcales; Dermabacteraceae. The record is from RNAcentral.